AUUGAACGCUGGCGGCAGGCCUAACACAUGCAAGUCGAGCGGUGGAAGGGAGCUUGCUUCUGGAUUCAGCGGCGGACGGGUGAGUAAUGCCUAGGAAUCUGCCUGGUAGUGGGGGAGAACGUCCGGAAACGGGCGCUAAUAUCGCAUACGUCCUGAGGGUGAAAGAGGGGGAUCUUCGGACAUCACGCUAUCAGAUGCGCCUAGGUCGGAUUAGCUAGUUGGUGGGGUAAAGGCCUACCAAGGCGACGAUCAUUAACUGGUCUGAGAGGAUGAUCAGUCACACUGGAACGGAGACACGGUCCAGACUCCUACGGGAGGCAGCAGUGGGGAAUAUUGGACAAUGGGCGAAAGCCUGAUCCAGCCAUGCCGCUUGUGUGAAGAAGGUCUUCGGAUUGUAAAGCACUUUAAGUGGGGAGGAAGGGCAGUAAGUUAAUACCUUGCUGUUUUGACGGUACCUACAGAAUAAGCACCGGCUAACUUCGUG
RNAcentral lists this ribosomal RNA (484 nucleotides) under uncultured bacterium. RNAcentral's name for it is "partial 16S ribosomal RNA". It matches the Rfam family "Bacterial small subunit ribosomal RNA", at positions 30 to 507 of the family's 1533-position model. The record is from RNAcentral.